This 498-nucleotide ribosomal RNA is filed under the name uncultured bacterium. RNAcentral's name for it is "partial 16S ribosomal RNA". It matches the Rfam family "Bacterial small subunit ribosomal RNA", at positions 28 to 506 of the family's 1533-position model. The record is from RNAcentral.
GACGAACGCUGGCGGCGUGCUUAACACAUGCAAGUCGAACGGGCCCGCCCCUGUUUUUGGGGGUGGGUUGAGUGGCGAACGGGUGAGUAUCACGUGAGUAACCUGCCCCCUGCUCCUGGAUAACUGCUUGAAAGGGCGGCUAAUACGGGGUGUGCCGGCUGGUCCGCAUGGGCCUGGUCGGGAUAGUUUCAUCUUCGGGUGUUUCGGUGGGGGAUGGGCUCGCGGCCUAUCAGCUUGUUGGUGGGGUGAUGGCCCACCAAGGCGGUGACGGGUAGCCGGCCUGAGAGGGUGGGCGGCCACACUGGGACUGAGACACGGCCCAGACUCCUGCGGGAGGCAGCAGUGGGGGGUAUUGCACAAUGGGCGGAAGCCUGAUGCAGCGACGUCGCGUGAGGGAGGGAGGCCUUCGGGUUGUGAACCUCUUUCUCCGGUGGUGAAGGCCCUGUCCGUUGCGGCGGGGUUGACGGUAGCCGGGUAUGAAGCGCCGGCUAACUACGU